Molecule: ribosomal RNA, 694 nt
Filed under: uncultured bacterium
Lineage: Bacteria
Description: bacterial SSU rRNA
Rfam family: Bacterial small subunit ribosomal RNA
Source: RNAcentral
GGACAACAGUUGGAAACGACUGCUAAUACCGCAUAAGCCCACGGCUCGGCAUCGAGCAGAGGGAAAAGGAGCAAUCCGCUUUGAGAUGGCCUCGCGUCCGAUUAGCUAGUUGGUGAGGUAAUGGCCCACCAAGGCGACGAUCGGUAGCCGGACUGAGAGGUUGAACGGCCACAUUGGGACUGAGACACGGCCCAGACUCCUACGGGAGGCAGCAGUGGGGAAUAUUGCACAAUGGGGGAAACCCUGAUGCAGCGACGCCGCGUGGAGGAAGAAGGUCUUCGGAUUGUAAACUCCUGUUGUUGAGGAAGAUAAUGACGGUACUCAACAAGGAAGUGACGGCUAACUACGUGCCAGCAGCCGCGGUAAAACGUAGGUCACAAGCGUUGUCCGGAAUUACUGGGUGUAAAGGGAGCGCAGGCGGGAAGACAAGUUGGAAGUGAAAUCCAUGGGCUCAACCCAUGAACUGCUUUCAAAACUGUUUUUCUUGAGUAGUGCAGAGGUAGGCGGAAUUCCCGGUGUAGCGGUGGAAUGCGUAGAUAUCGGGAGGAACACCAGUGGCGAAGGCGGCCUGCUGGGCACCAACUGACGCUGAGGCUCGAAAGUGUGGGUAGCAAACAGGAUUAGAUACCCUGGUAGUCCACACUGUAAACGAUGAUUACUAGGUGUUGGAGGAUUGACCCCUUCAGUGCCGCAG